RNAcentral lists this transfer RNA (76 nucleotides) under Oscillospiraceae bacterium. RNAcentral describes it as "tRNA-His". It matches the Rfam family "tRNA". Rfam says of the family: Transfer RNA (tRNA) molecules are approximately 80 nucleotides in length. Their secondary structure includes four short double-helical elements and three loops (D, anti-codon, and T loops). Lineage: Bacteria; Bacillati; Bacillota; Clostridia; Eubacteriales; Oscillospiraceae. The record is from RNAcentral.
GUGAGUGUAGUUCAGUCGGUAGAGCGUCAGUUUGUGGCACUGAAUGUCGUGGGUUCGAGUCCCAUCACUCACCCCA